Molecule: ribosomal RNA, 260 nt
Filed under: uncultured bacterium
Lineage: Bacteria
Description: partial 16S ribosomal RNA
Rfam family: Bacterial small subunit ribosomal RNA
Source: RNAcentral
UACGUAGGCAGCAAGCGUUGUUCGGAGUUACUGGGCGUAAAGGGUGCGUAGGCGGUCCCUAUAAGUAUGGGUGUGAAAUCUCCCGGCUUAACUGGGAGGGUGCGCUAUAGACUGUGGGACUAGAGUGUGGGAGAGGAAAGUGGAAUUCCUGGUGUAGCGGUGAAAUGCGUAGAUAUCAGGAGGAACACCGGUGGUGUAAACGGCUUUCGUGGACCAAUAACUGAACCGCUGAGGCACGAAAAGCGUGGGUAGCAAACAGG